GUGGACGCCAGUCUGCAUGGAGCCGACCUUGAAAUACCACCCUUUAAUGUUUGAUGUUCUAACGUGGACCCGUAAUCCGGGUUGCGGACAGUGUCUGGUGGGUAGUUUGACUGGGGCGGUCUCCUCCUAAAGAGUAACGGAGGAGCACGAAGGUUGGCUAAUCCUGGUCGGACAUCAGGAGGUUAGUGCAAUGGCAUAAGCCAGCUUGACUGCGAGCGUGACGGCGCGAGCAGGUGCGAAAGCAGGUCAUAGUGAUCCGGUGGUUCUGAAUGGAAGGGCCAUCGCUCAACGGAUAAAAGGUACUCCGGGGAUAACAGGCUGAUACCGCCCAAGAGUUCAUAUCGACGGCGGUGUUUGGCACCUCGAUGUCGGCUCAUCACAUCCUGGGGCUGAAGUAGGUCCCAAGGGUAUGGCUGUUCGCCAUUUAAAGUGGUACGCGAGCUGGGUUUAGAACGUCGUGAGACAGUUCGGUCCCUAUCUGCCGUGGGCGCUGGAGAACUGAGGGGGGCUGCUCCUAGUACGAGAGGACCGGAGUGGACGCAUCACUGGUGUUCGGGUUGUCAUGCCAAUGGCACUGCCCGGUAGCUAAAUGCGGAAGAGAUAAGUGCUGAAAGCAUCUAAGCACGAAACUUGCCCCGAGAUGAGUUCUCCCUGAGACUUAGAGUCUCCUGA
This 672-nucleotide ribosomal RNA is filed under the name Salmonella enterica. RNAcentral describes it as "partial 23S ribosomal RNA". It matches the Rfam family "Bacterial large subunit ribosomal RNA", at positions 2164 to 2831 of the family's 2925-position model. RNAcentral also lists the same sequence under 2 other names. The record is from RNAcentral. Lineage: Bacteria; Pseudomonadati; Pseudomonadota; Gammaproteobacteria; Enterobacterales; Enterobacteriaceae.